AUUGAACGCUGGCGGCAGGCCUCACACAUGCAAGUCGAGCGAGCGGCGGACGGGUGAGUAAUGUAUGGGAAUCUGCCCGAUGGAGGGGGAUAACUACUGGCAACGGUAGAUAAUACCGCAUACCAUCAGAUGUGCCCAGAUGGGAUUAGCGAGUAGUGGGGGUAACGUGUCACCUAGGCGACGCUCUCUAGCUGGUCUGAGAGGAUGACCAGCCACAAUGGUACGUAGACACGGGCCCGGAUCCUAUGGUAGGCAGCAGUGGGGAAUAUUGCACAAUGGGCGCAAGCCUGAUGCAGCCAUGACGCGUGUAUGAAGAAGGCCUUAGGGUUGUAAAGUACGUUCAGCUGGGAGGCGUUACCCGCAGAAGAAGCACCGGCUAACUCCGUGCCAGCAGCCGCGGUAAUAC
This 406-nucleotide ribosomal RNA is filed under the name uncultured bacterium. RNAcentral describes it as "partial 16S ribosomal RNA". It matches the Rfam family "Bacterial small subunit ribosomal RNA", at positions 30 to 526 of the family's 1533-position model. The record is from RNAcentral.